CUGGAGGAUCUACAAUUGACAUGAUCUUCUAAGUUCAACAACUGCAAGAGAAAUGCUGUGAUCAAAGGAGACCACUAUAUAUUGCCUUCAUCGAUCUUGCCAAGGCAUUCGACCAUGCCUGAAGGAAUCAUGUAUCUAAGGAAUCCCUUUCUCCAAAGUCCCCAAUUUUGUGACUGGCCUGGGCCUUGGAUGAGUCCAAAUUGGGUCUGGUCUUCCGACUCUGUAUUCUCUGGGCAUUGAAGCUGGAUCCCCAUGGGAUUGAAUGGAAUCUUCAGCUGCAGUGUGGAGCUUUAUUUCUGCCCCCCUGUCUCCAAUCCUGACCUGGAGCAGCCUCUCCUCCUGCACCC
Long non-coding RNA from Carcharodon carcharias (great white shark), 347 nucleotides. RefSeq lists it as uncharacterized. The record is from RefSeq and is a predicted model, not a curated record. Lineage: Eukaryota; Metazoa; Chordata; Chondrichthyes; Lamniformes; Lamnidae. The transcript is spliced from 3 exons.